CCUACGGGAGGCAGCAGUGAGGAAUAUUGGUCAAUGGGCGGAAGCCUGAACCAGCCAAGUCGCGUGAGGGAUUAAGGCCCUGCGGGUCGUAAACCUCUUUUGCCGGGGAGCAGAGGUCCGGACGUGUCCGCGCCGGGAGUGUACCCGAAGAAAAAGCAUCGGCUAACUCCGUGCCAGCAGCCGCGGUAAUACGGAGGAUGCGAGCGUUAUCCGGAUUUAUUGGGUUUAAAGGGUGCGCAGGCGGGAGAUCAAGCCAGCGGUAAAAUGUCGGGGCUCAACCCCGGCCGGCCGUUGAAACUGGUGUUCUAGAGUUGGAGAGAAGUAUGCGGAAUUCGUGGUGUAGCGGUGAAAUGCAUAGAUAUCACGAAGAACUCCGAUUGCGAAGGCAGCAUACCGGCUCCAUACUGACGCUGAGGCACGAAAGCGUGGGGAUCGAACAGGAUUAGAUACCCCAGUAGUC
RNAcentral lists this ribosomal RNA (460 nucleotides) under uncultured bacterium. Its description in RNAcentral is "partial 16S ribosomal RNA". It matches the Rfam family "Bacterial small subunit ribosomal RNA", at positions 338 to 795 of the family's 1533-position model. The record is from RNAcentral.